Long non-coding RNA from Camelus dromedarius (Arabian camel), 3169 nucleotides. RefSeq lists it as uncharacterized. The transcript is spliced from 5 exons. Lineage: Eukaryota; Metazoa; Chordata; Mammalia; Artiodactyla; Camelidae. The record is from RefSeq and is a predicted model, not a curated record.
AAAAGAACAUGGAAACAAUCUGUUUGCAAAGAAGUUUUGAGGUUCUGUCCAUCUGGUCCAGGAAAUGCUGACUCUGCUAGAUGUGCUGUUGGGUGGGCUCUCAUGGGAGAGGCUUGGGCAGGACUUCCCUUGGCAAUAAGCUGCCCCACCCAGGCCUUUCCAUGAUCCAGACUCCUGGGACCAGGGUGCAAAUCCCCAGCUCCCCACUUGUAAACAAUGUGACCUGGGCAACUUUCUCAAACCCAAGCUUUGUCCACCCAAGGUCAUCAGAGAUGGGGGAUAACAGGAUGUCCUGCACAGAGUGUCUGUGCAGAUUAAGUGAGGUAGAACAGACAGAACAGUGGUGGGGCCUGGCCCAUUCGUUGGCAGAAGGGAGCUCACCAUGUGCAGCAAUUUCCGCGGGUCACCCAGCAAUCUGCCCAGAGGCUUAGCUACUCCAUCACUAUCAUGUAUCUGAAGUCCACUUAACCACAUGGGAGAGAAACAAACACAUAUUCUGAGUGUAGCUGCCACAGGAAAAAGUGCAUCUGAGCGGGGAGUAAUACCAGAGGGUGAUCAGGAUGGUGGAAGAUGCCCCCUUGGGUUGAGCAGAGUGGAGCUGCCCUCUGGAGCCUGGGGUUAGUGAGGAUGGGCUUGUAGAAAUGCCCCUCUCCUUUACCCAUCAAUGCUGGGUCCUGCGGGUACUGAGUCCCACAAUCGGUGUGCUGCUAGUGCCCUCAGCACAGAGAAAAACCCAGGGGUUCCCACAAGGCUUCGGCCACGUCCUCUGCUUCCUGAACUCCCAUUCUGGUGACCCCACCUGGGAUGCAGAGAUGAGGUGAGGCAGGGGCUUGUGCUGUCAACACCACUGCUCUACCCUGGGAAUCUGACACACAGUAGGUGCUCGGUAAGUCAUUGUUGAAUGAACAGCAGUACUGGGUCAAGUUUCUGUGGGUGUCUGUGCCCCUAGAUCAGGGACCCCUCAGGGCCCACCUCACAAGUGACAUGAAAAUAAUAAUGCCACCAGGAGCAAUAACAGUUCCUCAGAAUAAGUGGGCUUUUCCAAGCACUCUCCACCUGUUGCAAAGGCCUCCCAGCAGGGAAGUGGGCUGUCAGGGGCAACACUGCACUCUCCACUGUAAUAAGGAGAAAGCCAAGGGCCACAGAGAGGAGUGCCUUUCCAGUGUCACUGCUCACUUUCCCACCUUUUGGGAGACUGGGAGGCUUUUCUACUACAUUCUGGCUCUGAAGCCCCAAUAUUGUUUGGACAUGUCUCCCUCCCUGGAGCAGGGAACCACUAAGUGACCUGUCACUUGUCACCAAGCAGACAGGCUCAUUUCAGCUCAUUGUGCCACCUGCAGUUUGUGCUAGUAGCAGGAUCCUCUGGGAGACAUCACACUCUCCCAACCUGAAAACAGGUGAACAGCUCACAGGUUUCCUGGAGAGGAUGGUCACAUGGCCUUGAUCUGGCCAAUCAGCAUUUUCCAUCCUCCCUGGCCACUGUGAUUGGCUCAGGGCUGGGCACCAGCCCAAUCAGGCUCCACGGAGGUCAGGCCUAGUUGCUGGAAUCCUGGGAGCAGAGAAGUUCUAUUUCAGUUGGGAGUUGAGGGGUGGUGAUGUCAGCCUGUGGCAGUUGGUGACUAUCUUGCUCUCGUAAAGGCAGAGCCAUGUGAAGAUGACACCAGUGGCAGAGCCCAGAGGUGGGGAAAGAUGACUUCUGCUGAUGUCACUGAGCACCAGGUACAGCUCUGCCUGAAGCUAUCUCCUUGUGGAUGUCUCAGUUAGGCUGUCUGCUGCAUGAGAAUGGAGACCUGCCUGCUUCACUCCCUGCUGUGUCCGGUAUAUGGAACCCGCCCAACACACAGUAGGACCUCAGCGAAUGUGUGACGGGUGUGUGAUCACUGUAGGCCACAGACAAAGGUCUUCCCAGCAGUGAUGAAACCCUGUGACAGAUCCUGUCCACAGCACCCUGCUCCUCCGAUCCUGACCCCAGGCUUUCCCAUGGGGUGUGACCCCGCAUGGGGUGCAGUCCCCUCCUCCAGUCUGACGUCAGUAAUCUUGGACCCGUUCUUGGAGCAGAGAAUUGAGUACCUUCCUAAAGUGUACGUUGACACUCCAUAUGUUUCUGCCAGUAUCAGCGAGGUUCAAUAUGUCUCAUGAAUGUCUUUUGAGCCUGGUAUUCUCAACAGAAGUCUCCAUGCCAGUAUUCUCCAUUGUAGCAGAACAACUCUCAUCAAUGUGUUCGCAUCUCACCUCAAUUUGUGCAGCCAGCUUUUCUGCCAACUUCCUUCAUGUCUCCUAUAAAGUCAAAUUCUAAAGGACAGGGCAAGUCUGAAAGUACCUCGGAGCCUCACCUGUAAGCUGAUGACAGGCAGAUCUUCCACUAUCUGCCCUUUCAGAUUCUGGAAACUGACCCGUGAACUCAGGCCAUUGCGCAGCACGAGUAUCUCGAACUUACACAGAUUCCAGAAAAAGAGACUUAAGCCAAGCUCCAUAGAGGGCGGUACCGCCUCCAUGACACUGAUCCACCCACAGAAUUCUGCCCAGUUACCUUGGAUCCACCAGCCACAACAAUCCUGGCAGAACACACCAAGAUUCCACCUGGAAUCCAACCGGUAACUGCCAUCCCCAAUGGUUGCUGCAUCUUGUCAGUGUUGGGGGAGGGGCUGCAUCAGACGAGAGGUUCCAAAGGUUUUCUGAGGCCUCAUCCUGUCUUUGGAAGUAACAGACCACACUUCGGAAAGUGUCCUGUGCCAAGGGCUGGGUGAGUGGAUGUUUACAUUGCUGUGUACAUGGGUGGGAGUGAGCGCAGGUUGCACUGGUUCUCUGCCAACUGGGCAUCGAUAAAUCAACACUUUACAGAUAUAAUUCACAGAAUUGUGAUGUUUGUUUAGCUCUGUUUAAUAUGCAGCCAUGGUGGGAGGGUUUGUCCGUAGCCUCCAAUUUUCACAUUGUGUUGAUAACUCAGUUGCAGUUUUUAAGAAGGUUAAUAGAAUUGAUUUACAUGUUUUGGGAUUUAUAAGAAAAUGAAGGUAGAUUUUGAAACUUACUAAAUCCACCUAGAUGCCAGACCUGUCAAUUUUGUAACAUUAUGUCAACUAUAAGAAAAAUAUAGACAGUUAUAAAGUAAAAUCACUGUCCAAUAAUUUGAAGGGGAUAUGUCAACUCUUUACUGUUGAAGCCUCCAACA